AUAGUACUCCCUCCGUCCAGAAAUACUUGUCGGAGGAAUUGACGUAUCUAGACGUAUGUUAGUGUUAGAUACAUCCAUUUUUAAUCAUUUCUACGAUAAAUAUUUCCGGACGGAGGGAGUAUGAG
Non-coding RNA from Triticum aestivum (bread wheat), 125 nucleotides. The record is from Rfam. Lineage: Eukaryota; Viridiplantae; Streptophyta; Magnoliopsida; Poales; Poaceae.